AGCUGUUCCCCUCUGGAGGUUUUUUGACCUUCAUACCUAUUGGGCCCGAGAGCAAUCUCGAGGCCCAUUUUUUUGCCUGGU
RNAcentral lists this unclassified non-coding RNA (81 nucleotides) under Parahoeflea halophila. RNAcentral describes it as "Hoeflea halophila suhB". The stretch from base 1 to 72 matches the Rfam family "Alphaproteobacterial ar15", at positions 44 to 112 of the family's 112-position model. Lineage: Bacteria; Pseudomonadati; Pseudomonadota; Alphaproteobacteria; Hyphomicrobiales; Rhizobiaceae. The record is from RNAcentral.